Molecule: ribosomal RNA, 1466 nt
Filed under: Lacticaseibacillus casei
Lineage: Bacteria; Bacillati; Bacillota; Bacilli; Lactobacillales; Lactobacillaceae
Description: bacterial SSU rRNA
Rfam family: Bacterial small subunit ribosomal RNA
Source: RNAcentral
GCUGGCGGCGUGCCUAAUACAUGCAAGUCGAACGAGUUCUCGUUGAUGAUCGGUGCUUGCACCGAGAUUCAACAUGGAACGAGUGGCGGACGGGUGAGUAACACGUGGGUAACCUGCCCUUAAGUGGGGGAUAACAUUUGGAAACAGAUGCUAAUACCGCAUAGAUCCAAGAACCGCAUGGUUCUUGGCUGAAAGAUGGCGUAAGCUAUCGCUUUUGGAUGGACCCGCGGCGUAUUAGCUAGUUGGUGAGGUAAUGGCUCACCAAGGCGAUGAUACGUAGCCGAACUGAGAGGUUGAUCGGCCACAUUGGGACUGAGACACGGCCCAAACUCCUACGGGAGGCAGCAGUAGGGAAUCUUCCACAAUGGACGCAAGUCUGAUGGAGCAACGCCGCGUGAGUGAAGAAGGCUUUCGGGUCGUAAAACUCUGUUGUUGGAGAAGAAUGGUCGGCAGAGUAACUGUUGUCGGCGUGACGGUAUCCAACCAGAAAGCCACGGCUAACUACGUGCCAGCAGCCGCGGUAAUACGUAGGUGGCAAGCGUUAUCCGGAUUUAUUGGGCGUAAAGCGAGCGCAGGCGGUUUUUUAAGUCUGAUGUGAAAGCCCUCGGCUUAACCGAGGAAGCGCAUCGGAAACUGGGAAACUUGAGUGCAGAAGAGGACAGUGGAACUCCAUGUGUAGCGGUGAAAUGCGUAGAUAUAUGGAAGAACACCAGUGGCGAAGGCGGCUGUCUGGUCUGUAACUGACGCUGAGGCUCGAAAGCAUGGGUAGCGAACAGGAUUAGAUACCCUGGUAGUCCAUGCCGUAAACGAUGAAUGCUAGGUGUUGGAGGGUUUCCGCCCUUCAGUGCCGCAGCUAACGCAUUAAGCAUUCCGCCUGGGGAGUACGACCGCAAGGUUGAAACUCAAAGGAAUUGACGGGGGCCCGCACAAGCGGUGGAGCAUGUGGUUUAAUUCGAAGCAACGCGAAGAACCUUACCAGGUCUUGACAUCUUUUGAUCACCUGAGAGAUCAGGUUUCCCCUUCGGGGGCAAAAUGACAGGUGGUGCAUGGUUGUCGUCAGCUCGUGUCGUGAGAUGUUGGGUUAAGUCCCGCAACGAGCGCAACCCUUAUGACUAGUUGCCAGCAUUUAGUUGGGCACUCUAGUAAGACUGCCGGUGACAAACCGGAGGAAGGUGGGGAUGACGUCAAAUCAUCAUGCCCCUUAUGACCUGGGCUACACACGUGCUACAAUGGAUGGUACAACGAGUUGCGAGACCGCGAGGUCAAGCUAAUCUCUUAAAGCCAUUCUCAGUUCGGACUGUAGGCUGCAACUCGCCUACACGAAGUCGGAAUCGCUAGUAAUCGCGGAUCAGCACGCCGCGGUGAAUACGUUCCCGGGCCUUGUACACACCGCCCGUCACACCAUGAGAGUUUGUAACACCCGAAGCCGGUGGCGUAACCCUUUUAGGGAGCGAGCCGUCUAAGGU